GGGAUUGCCCCAGUAACGGCGAGUGAAGCGGCAACAGCUCAAAUUUGAAAUCUGGCCUAGGCCCGAGUUGUAAUUUGCAGAGGAUGCUUCGGGCGCGGUGCCUUCUGAGUUCCCUGGAACGGGACGCCAUAGAGGGUGAGAGCCCCGUACGGUUGGACACCUAGCCUGUGUGAAGCUCCUUCGACGAGUCGAGUAGUUUGGGAAUGCUGCUCAAAAUGGGAGGUAUAUCUCUUCUAAAGCUAAAUACCGGCCAGAGACCGAUAGCGCACAAGUAGAGUGAUCGAAAGAUGAAAAGCACCUUGAAAAGGGGGUUAAACAGCACGUGAAAUUGUUGAAAGGGAAGGGCCCAUGACCAGACUUGUGCCCGGCGGAUCACCCAGCGUUCUCGCUGGGGCACUCCGCCGGGUCCAGGCCAGCAUCGGUUCUCGCCGGGGGAUAAAGGCUCUGGGAACGUAGCUCCUCCGGGAGUGUUAUAGCCCUCUGCGUAAUACCCUGGCGGGGACCGAGGUACGCGCUCCGCAAGGAUGCUGGCGUAAUGGUCAUCAGCCACCCGUCUUGAAACACGGAUCAAGGAGUCGUCCAUUAGAGCGAGCGUUUGGGUGUCAAACCCGCACGCGUAAUGAAAGUGAACGUAGGUGAGAGCUUCGGCGCAUCAUCGACCGAUCCUGAUGUCCUCGGAUGGAUUUGAGUAUGAGUUUUACUGGACGGACCCGAAAGAUGGUGAACUAUGCCUGUAUAGGGUGAAGCCAGAGGAAACUCUGGUGGAGGCUCGCAGCGGUUCUGACGUGCAAAUCGAUCGUCAAAUAUGGGCAUGGGGGCGAAAGACUAAUCGAACCAUCUAGUAGCUGGUUACCGCAA
RNAcentral lists this ribosomal RNA (858 nucleotides) under Phaeoacremonium parasiticum. RNAcentral describes it as "LSU rRNA". It matches the Rfam family "Eukaryotic large subunit ribosomal RNA", at positions 71 to 963 of the family's 3401-position model. Lineage: Eukaryota; Fungi; Ascomycota; Sordariomycetes; Togniniales; Togniniaceae. The record is from RNAcentral.